CAAGCUGGAUUUUGACGUAAUUUCUUCUCAUGUAGCUAGCAGGUGGCGGAGGUGUAUUUGAAUGUCGGCAGCACCCUGACAGCGAUUAGAAUGUCCUCUGUCUGCUAGUCUUCUUUGAUCCUUGAAUUCUGUGGAGCUCAAAUAGACAACAAAGCUUUGUGGAACUGGUUAAGUGUUAGCAUAAAAUCUCUUCGCCUUUAUCAUGUUGAGCUUCCUCUAAUAAAUAUUACUCUCUUUGGUAGGAUCAUAAAUUUAUUUUUAUAUUUUCAUUUCUAUAGGACAGAAAUAUAUUUAUUUUAUUUUUAUGCC
RNAcentral lists this long non-coding RNA (309 nucleotides) under Sorghum bicolor (sorghum). Its description in RNAcentral is "long non-coding RNA (SBIC_LNC017313)". Lineage: Eukaryota; Viridiplantae; Streptophyta; Magnoliopsida; Poales; Poaceae. The record is from RNAcentral.